CUUCAGAUGGUGUCUCAUAUCCUAUUUUAUAGUAUUAUAUAGUGGUUUGCAUGCGGGAAAAUUAACUUUACUGAUCCCCCCCUCUUUUUAAACAUGAGUUCAAAAAUACUGCAGAUUUGGAGGGGACUGCUGUUAAUUUUUUUGAAGUAUAGUUGGUUUUCGGUAUUAUAUUAGUUUCAGGCAUAUGGCAUAGUGAUUGAGGGGGCCUCUGUCAUCGUGGGAAACACAGCAACCUGAUCCACAGAAACCACAAUAGUAUGAUGGAAUAUUCUUGAACAUGUGUCAGAAUCGCCCAGAAGAUGGUUCAAACACAGAUUCUGGUGCCUGACGCCUCGCUCGGUUGGAUUCUGAAGUGAGAAUGAGCAUUUCUAGUCAGUCCCUCGAAGCCUCAGGUAGUGAAUGUUCAGGAAUCAGACUUGAAAACCAGGGUUCUAUGAAAAAUUCAGGUGCCUGGUUCCAGGCCUUCAGGUACCAGAGUGGAAAUCUGCAGACUCCUGGUAGCAGAGCCAGGGCUUCUCACACGCAUCUCCUGAGUGUCUCUGUAGUGAGCAAGUCGGGCUAAUGGCCAACUGGGCUGAGCUCCUAGAUCCUCUGCUGCCAAGGAGCCCUUCCUCUCACCAAAGCUCUCUAGCCACCUGCUUAUUCUGGCUAGAACUUAUUCCAAAAAUUCCUACAUCCCCUCCACUUUUUUUUUUUCUUUUUGGUCAACACCCGUAGCAUAUGGACGUUCCCAGGCGAGGGGUCCAGUUGAAGCUGCAGCUGCCAGCCUAUACCACAGCCACAUCAUCGCAGGAUCUGAGCGGCAUCUGCAGCCUACACGGCAGUUGGCAGCAAUGCCGGAUCCUUAACCCACUGAGUGAGACAGGGAUUGAACCCUCAUCCUCAUGGAUACUAGUCAGGUUCAUUACUGCUGAGCCACAGUGGGACCUCCUCCUUCACAUUUUCCUUCAGUGACCCUGUUUAUCAAAGAGGCCCCCUUCCUGCACCAUGUAAUGUGAAUUGCACACGUUACCUCUACGUACAGUCACCUUGUAGUCUUUCCAUUAUGCCGCUCACGUUGUGACAUAUAAAUAGAUGACUCAGCAUUCCCUCUUUCAUGAUUCCUCUGUCCUCAUUGAAUGUAACAUGACCCCCAGGAGGGCAGGAGUCAUUGCCCCUUUUGUAUCCCAAUGUCUCCUGUGCAUCUACGAUAACUUCUUUUUUUUUGUCUCAUUAGAGCCCCACUUGCGGCAUAUGGAGUUCCCAGGCUAGGGGUCGAAUCAGAGCUGUAGCCCCCAGCCUACACCACAGCCACAGCAACACCAUAUCUUAACCCACUGAGUGAGGCCAGGGUUCAAACCCACAUCCUCCUGAAUCCUAGUUGGGUUUGUUAACCACUGAGCCACAAAGGGGACUCCCAGCACCCUUCUCACACAUGCUCCAGCUGUGAACACGACAGCUGCUGUCCCGUAAUAAAAUAUCAAAAUAGCAUGUCUUCCAUUGUUCAGUUUUGGAGACCGAUGUCAGAUUCCCAAAAGGAAGUUUGGGAAUCUGUCAGGCUAUCCAAAUUACUAAAUGGAUAAAAAUAUGGCUCACCAAGUUGGACACAGUAGUUUGCUAUGCUGUCAGAGGAAGUAUUUUCUGCGGUGACUACAGAGUUCCACCUUUGUACUAUUGUUUUAGGGAGCCCAGCAUCCCUCUACUAUCUGUCCUCUCAUGGCCCAUCUUUUUUUUUUUUUUUUUUUUUUUUUUUUUUUUUUUGUCUUUUGUCUUUUGUGUUUUUUUUCAGGGCUGCACCCGCGGCAAAUGGAAGUUCCCAGGUUAAAUGUGGAAUCGGAGCUGCAGGUGCCAGCAUGUGCCACAGCCACAGCAACGCCAGAUCCAAUCCCCGCCUGCGACCUCCACCGCAGCUCACAGCCACACCAGAUCCUUAACCCACUGAGUGCAGUCAGGGAUCUAACUCGCAUCCUCAUGGCUACUAGUCAGGUUUGUUAUCACUGAGCCACCAUGGGAACUCCUGUCAUGGCCCAUCUUGAGUGUCUUUUUUCUUUUCCCUGACCAAAGGUACAGAGACUAUUAAAACUGACUCUGGGAGUUCCUGUCCUGGCUCAGUGGUUAACAAACCCAACUAGGAACCAUGACAUUGCAGGUUCGAUCCCUGGCCUUGCUCGGUGUGUUAAGGAUUCGGCAUUACUGUGAGUUGUGAAAGGUCACAGACUUGGCUCGGAUCCUGCAUUGCUAUGGCUGUGGCGUAGGCCGGCGGCUACAGUUCUGCUUAGACCCCUGGCCUGGGAACCUCCAUAUGCCACGGGUGUGGCCCUAGAAUAGACCAAAAAAAAAAAAAAAAAAAAAAAAAAGACCUUCAAAAAACUGACUCUAACACUUCAAAGUGUAUAGAUUUCAUUUGAAACAUGGAAAUGUUUAUUUUUAUUAUUUACUGAUUUUUAUUUCAGUAUGGUUGUUUUACAAUAUCACAUUAGUUUCACAUGUAGAACAGUGAUUCAAUACUUUUAUAGAGUAUACUGCAUUUACAGUUGUUAUAGAGGUUUCCUUGUGGCACAGUGAGUUAAGGCUCUGGCAUUACACACAAUGGCUAUAUUUCCCUGUGCUGUACGAUUUAUCCUAGUUGCUGAUCUAUUUUAUUUUUUUUCUUUUUGGCUACACCCGCAGGAUGGGGAAGUUCCUGGGCCAAUGAUCAAAUUCCAGCUACAGCAGUGACCCCAGCCUCUAGUGAUAACACCAAAUCCUUAACUCACUGCACCCCAAAGGAAUGUCACUAUUUUAUUAAUAGUGAAACAGAGCAAGACCCUGUGGGGCCUUCCCAAGGACGGACACCUCCAACUGCUUUGUCCCCUGACUUUUUAUAGAGAAGCAUUAGCCUCCUAGGUCUUCUCCCAGUUCCAAAGAGCAAAAAGGCACAAGUGAGAAAAUGCAGAAGCAAAAGAAAGCAGUAAGACAACUUAGUAAUAGUUUUGGCCAAAGACAAAGCUAAAGACAUUUCUUUUCAAAGCUAAAGACAUUUAGUUCUUCCUCAAAGCCUCAGCCAUAUCCUUUAAUUGUUGCAGAUGCUAAAGGUGCAUGCUGGGAGUUUCUGUUGCAGCUUAGCUGUAAUGAACCCAGCUAGUGUCCAUGAGAACUAGAGAGUUCAAUCCCUUGCCUCUCCUAGUGGGUUGAGGGUCUGGCAUUCCUGCAAGCUUUGGCACAGGUCAAACACACAGCUCAGAUCUCAGUUGCUGUGGCUGUGGCAUGGGCCAACAGCUGCCACUCCAAUUCGACCCCUGGCCUGGGAACUUCCAUAUGCCAUGGGUGUGCGGUAAGGGCCCUCCCAGAACAAAGGGAAGGAAAUGUGACAUAACCAGCGUCUGUGUCUGCAUGCGUAACUCUGCAGCAGCAAGACAUAAUCACUGUCCAUGUGCAACUCUGUAGCAUAGACCAUCCAACCAGAAUUUACAGAAUGCAUGUUACCUUAUAAGGGGGACAAAGGAACCAAAGUGUCAAAGAAAAAAUAACAGAGGGUAUAUCAGACAGAACCCCACUGUGUUCAGGACUCAGCCUUUGGAUGUGAAUCCAACUGAGCCAGUGUGGGCACAAAUAAACCCUGUUCCCUGGCAAAAA
This 3594-nucleotide long non-coding RNA is filed under the name Sus scrofa (pig). Its description in RNAcentral is "lncRNA (ENSSSCG00025007564.1)". The record is from RNAcentral. Lineage: Eukaryota; Metazoa; Chordata; Mammalia; Artiodactyla; Suidae.